GACGAACGCUGGCGGCGUGCUUAACACAUGCAAGUCGAACGGAAAGGCCCUGCUUUUGUGGGGUGCUCGAGUGGCGAACGGGUGAGUAACACGUGAGUAACCUGCCCUUGACUUUGGGAUAACUUCAGGAAACUGGGGCUAAUACCGGAUAGGAGCUCCUGCUGCAUGGUGGGGGUUGGAAAGUUUCGGCGGUUGGGGAUGGUCUCGCGGCUUAUCAGCUUGUUGGUGGGGUAGUGGCUUACCAAGGCUUUGACGGAUAGCCGGCCUGAGAGGGUGACGGGCCACAUUAGGACUGAGAUACGGCCCAGACUCCUAAGGAAGGCAGAAGUGGGGAAAAUUGCACAAAGGGCGGAAGCCUGAUGCAGCAACGCCGCGUGCGGGAUGACGGCCUUCGGGUUGUAAACCGAUUUCGCCUGUGACGAAGCGUGAGUGACGGUAAUGGGUAAAGAAGCACAGGCUAACUACGUG
Molecule: ribosomal RNA, 468 nt
Filed under: uncultured bacterium
Lineage: Bacteria
Description: partial 16S ribosomal RNA
Rfam family: Bacterial small subunit ribosomal RNA
Source: RNAcentral